This is a long non-coding RNA of Hypanus sabinus (Atlantic stingray), 1298 nucleotides long. RefSeq lists it as uncharacterized. The transcript is spliced from 3 exons. The record is from RefSeq and is a predicted model, not a curated record. NCBI's taxonomy places the organism in Eukaryota, Metazoa, Chordata, Chondrichthyes, Myliobatiformes, Dasyatidae.
GGGAUGAAGCUGUUCCUAAAAUGUUAAACUUAUGUCUUCAGGCUCUUGUAACUCUUCUCUCAUGGCGGCACUGAGAAGAGGGCAGUCCUGGGAUUGCUUGAUGACAAACGGGAGAUCUUUCAUUAAUGAGUGAGCCUGCAAUUUACUGUUUGGAGGAUGAUGGAGCGAACUGGAUUUUGCUGGCUCCAGGAAGAUUUUGGGAAGCGAGCGCAUACUUGGAUGGCCUCAAUGUGAAGAAGAUGAGGGGCUUUCAAUGUUUCGUGGCUAUCUGGAGAAGACAAGUUUCAGAGUUGUGUAUGGACACAUUGAUAAUAAAUGAACCUUUGAAUUUUGAGCCCCAUAUCCAAGGAGAGGUGCUGGCCCUGGAGAAGACCCAGAGGAGGAUCACAACAAUUAUCCUGGGAAUGAAAGGCCUAGCAUGAAGAGUGCUUGAUGGCUCAGGGUCUGUACUUGUCCUUCUAUUUGGUGGGCAAGAGGGAGGGGAGGGGUAUCUGCAAGGAAAUCUCAUUGAAACCUACAGGAUACUGAAAAGUCUAGAUAAUGGGUAUGGACAGGAUCUUUCCAUUAGUAGGAGAGCCAAGGAUUUAAGGGGAGGGUCUCUGCACUGCUCCCUACAGAGGUAAAAUGUCUACACCCUCUUGUUUGUCGAGUACCUACUCAUCUCUCCCUUAAAAAAAACUCAAAGCCUCCACUUCCACCCCUUGUGGGGGGAGAGGGAAAUCAGAGCAGCAUUUCAUCAUCCAGCUUUAAUGGGUAACUAAAGCAGAUCUAAAUUUCCAGAUUCUCCUAAUCAUACCUUCUCAACAUAUUCUCAACCAUAUUGCCACUCAAAGUCCAAUCCUAAUCGUGAGAGGUGGAACUGGGUAAGGCCGGCCAGCAGGGCUCUGGUGAGGCUGUAUAGACCAGUUCCCUGUACGGUGGAUGUUACGGAAACAUCGAUGAACCCCAAUCACACCAUCCACUUCAGAGGAUGAUGGAGGCGCGAGGUCAUCGAUGGCCCAUGCUCCGCUUGGGAACUAAGGGCUCAAACCAAAAAUAAAAACAGCAGCCUUAUCAACACCUCUCAGUAUAUUAAGUUUAAAAUGAGUCUCCUCCCAAUUCUAAUCUUCCGCCGAUACAACCUAACCUAUCUAAAUUUUCCUCAAAUCAAAUUCUGCGUACCCCACCAUUCCAUGUAUCAGUUCUGGACUGCUUACUGUUCGACACUUGUCAAAGCCCAUAGCCGUGACCCGUUGCCCAGAGUUCCGAAUCUGCAAAUCCCUGUGUCCAGUGGUCCAGUGGGGAGGUCAAACCCGCAA